Molecule: long non-coding RNA, 894 nt
Filed under: Parus major (Great Tit)
Lineage: Eukaryota; Metazoa; Chordata; Aves; Passeriformes; Paridae
Description: lncRNA (ENSPMJG00000005604.1)
Source: RNAcentral
ACAUUUUGCAUUUUUAUUCUUCAGAUCCUCCACGUCUCUACAGAAACAUCCAUUUGGGUGUGAGCAAAGGUUUAGUUCCCACAGCCGUGCGUGGGCCUCCCGUGUUCAAGCCCAUUAAAACAAAGAGUGAAGGAGAUCUGCUGGCACCAGGCCCUGUGCAAAGCUCACUGGGGCUGAUGAGUUUUCCUGAUAACUUUGAGGACUUUGGACCCUGCCCUUUGGCACUUGUGCCUGAGUGCCCUCAGAAGGGAUUUAUGCCCUGUGGGAGAAUCACUUACAGGCUCUCUCACAGCGUAUGGAGGGAUGUGCUGGCCUGAAUCUGCUUCAGGAUGCAUUUGUGCUGGGGAUGGUUUGGAUCUGUUUGGAUCAUUUGUGCCAAGACAGAGAAACAGCAAAAGCAUCAUGCUCUGAAUGCUCAUUGGAAGGAUUUUGCUCUUGCCAAUUUCAGACUAGUUUCCAACCAGCUUCUGCCAUGGAAGGUUUUGUUUGGAAGCACCAUUCCACAAGGAAAACAAUUGUGUUUUUGCUUGAAAUUGCACAGUUCUCCAUAUUUCCUUAUCUUUAGCUAAGUGGCCAUCACCUCCUAAUUAUAGUUUCCUCUUUUUUUAACUACUGUGCUCAAUUUACAGCCUCUCUAAUUACUCUUACCUUGUUUGUUUAAUGAAGCUUAUAUAAUGAUUCCUGUGAUCUUCAUGAAACGUUACGCUGGGAUUUUACUUUUCACUUUAUAAACUGCGAUUUUAUAUUAAUGUUUUUAACCUCAGGUUUCUAAUCAUAAAGUCAUAAGGAGUUUAAUUGAUUUGAAACUAGCCAUGCCCUGAAGUGUGUACAUGUCAGAUUGAUUCAAAUUGAUCCAACGUGUUUAAAUAAAACUCAUGCCAAAAGCCCGUCGCA